Molecule: long non-coding RNA, 624 nt
Filed under: Sus scrofa (pig)
Lineage: Eukaryota; Metazoa; Chordata; Mammalia; Artiodactyla; Suidae
Description: lncRNA (ENSSSCG00070003321.1)
Source: RNAcentral
UCAUCGCAUGGUGAUUCGUCUCCGCACAAAAGUUACCUUCUUGGACUUCCGUGCGGCUCACAGCAAAAAAAAGUUACCUUCUUUAAAGCUGGGAACUUAGCAGUUGAUUCCUGGUGCUAUAAACAAAUGACAAAAAGACAAGAACUGCAGAACUGAGCUGGUGCUCAGCAUACCAAUAAGAGAUUAUUUUUGAAAGCUACCUGCCAAUAGUACAGAAGUCGGAAAAGCAAUGCCUGGCCAAGAAGCGCUGGUUUUCUUCAUGGGAAAAUUCAUACUCUAGAAUGUGUUAUUCAUCAUCAGGAUUCUCUCUCUUUUUAAAAAAUUCUGGUUAAAAUAUGGUUGUUGUUUGAGUCACAUUAUGUUCUGACAUCACUGUUUCAUCAACCCUUUAUAACUUUAUUCAAAUAGAUCGCACAGCAGAGGGACCUCCAAGGCAGACAUCAGGAGAAACGGAGUCAAAGCAAGAUGUGCCCCAGAGACCUCCUUGGGCGAGUGGAUUAGGCAACUCUAAGAGGGCUAAACAAGAGGAUCCAAGAAAUAGAGGCAUAGAAGAGGCCCACACGGGUAUGGAAAAUUGAAUAUUUCUAUGCAGUAUUACUCUGCAAGUAUAUAUCCCAGAUGGUC